This 3927-nucleotide long non-coding RNA is filed under the name Homo sapiens (human). Its description in RNAcentral is "non-protein coding MIR4527HG:20". Lineage: Eukaryota; Metazoa; Chordata; Mammalia; Primates; Hominidae. The record is from RNAcentral.
AGUUGCUGGGGGUCCCUAGGCCGGGCCCCAGGACAUCUAGGACAUGCCGGGGGCUGUUUGCUACGGCUUCAUCCCGGAGCUCCUGCUCGGGGUUGCCGGCUGCCUCUGCUGGCGUCCCUCUUCCCUUCCUUUGCGUAAGCGGCAACUCCUCCAGGAAGCCAGGGGAAGGACGGGAUUUCCUCUCCACGUAGGGUAGUAGAUCGCAUAGCCCAGCCGGAUCGCCCAGCAGGAGUGCAGGGCGCGCGUCGGGGUGUCUCCGGCUUGUGGGUGUGCGGUUCGAAACCUUAGCUGGGGUGGGGGAAGGGAUGUCUUUAACCUUCUGUCUACCGUCCCCCUCUUCCCUCUCUCAGCCUAGAGGCAGGGGAUGCUGCGGAAUCAGACUGGGUGCACCAAGGCGGAGGGCCAUGCCGGGCUUCGCCCUUCCUGGGUGUCCCGGAGUCCGUUCCGGAGAAACCCUGGCAUUGCCAGAACUGGGUCCCCGCACUCACUCCUCCAUAAUUCGCGGCGGAUCAGCGGGAGGAGGGCAGAGGGCGGGGGCGAGGCAGCUUCCUGGCGGGUGUGGCGCAAAGUGUGCGGGGUGUGGCGCAAAGUGCGCGGACCCGGGUCCUGGACCGAAGAUUUAGCCCAGGGUUUCGUGUGUGUUGCUCCCUGUUGCUUUCUACGGGGUCUGCGCUGGCCUCCUCCUCGGGCGACUGGGCCCUGAGGCAACAGCGCCUUCUCGAGCCCCGAGGAUUGACCGCCCCGAGCCUGCUUGGAGCAGGGCCUCUCUCCAGCGCGGUGUGAUGAAACACCAGCUGCUGUGAAGAUAUACCCUUAGAAACGAACCGUCUGUUAAUAUGGAAAAAAACCAUUCUUCCAGGAGAGGCUCCUCCAAGCAAACUUCCCCUUACAUCUCUUACCAGAACUGGGUCACAUGCUCCCAUCUAAAACAACCACUGGCCAUUAGAAAUGGUGUUACCAUGCCUGUCUUGGACCAAUCACAUUUGAUCCUCUGAGGAUAGAGACAUGUUGCCACCUGAACAACUGUGGGGUGCUGUACUCCUGGCAAGCAGGGAGAAUGGCUGUGGCUAGGCAACUGACAGCAUCUACCACAAAUAUGUUACUCAGAAGAAGAAUCGAGGAUGGCCAUAAUUUUUAUUUAAAGAUUUCUAUUUUACAGAGGCAUAUCUGAUUAAGGGACAUUUAAACUUCCCUGUUAAACUUAUCAAGACAAAAAGACAAGGCAUCUUGCCACAUUUCUUAAAUAUUCUCUGCAGUCUCUCUUGACCUUUUCCCAGCUGUGCUGUAAACAUAAAGAUAAUAACAUAUCUGAAUAACAUUUUAUGGUGCACAGAUAAUUUUCACAUACAUUAUCCAUUUGACCCUCACCAUAACUGUGUGGGGUAGGUAAGGUACGAUUGUACUUUUCAUUAAUUUUUUUUUUUUUGAGACACAGUCUCGUUCUGUCACCCAGGCUAGAGUGCAGUGGUGCGAUCUGGGCUCACUGCAACCUCCACCUCCCAGGUUCAAGUGAUUCUCCUGCCUCAGCCUCCAAGUAGCUGGGAUUACAGGCAAGUGCCACCAUGCCUGGCUAGUUUUUGUAAUUUUUUAGUAGAGACAGGGUUUCACCAUGUUGGCCAGGCUGGUCUAGAACUCCUGACCUCAGGUGAUCCACGUGCCUCGGCCUCCCAAAGUGCUGGGGUUACAGGCAUGAGCCACUGCUCCUGGCCACUUUUCAUUAAUUUUUAUUGGACUUAGGAUUAGAAGGAUGAGCAAAUCCUACUACUUAGUGCGUGGAAUACUGGCAUCUAUUGUUUUUGCUUGGCUCCUCUCUUGUUUUAAUAAUUAACUAAUCGAUCCAUUCUCUUUUAUUGCCAUCUCCCACUCACACUUUUUCCUCCACAUAGGCAAUCAUUCUAAAUAUGUCCAAUGUUUAUCUUAUUUGUAUGCGUAUUUAUAAAGUGAAUAUUUUGUUUAGUGUGUAUGCAGUUUCGUUUGCAUAAAUUGUAAUAUUCUGUGAAUCUCAUUCUGUUUUGUACUUUUUUCAUUCUGCUCUGUUUUUAGAAGUGAUCCAUGUUGCUAUGUGUAUCUACUCCAUUGCCUUUAAAUGCUGCAUAAUACUCCACGGUGUUUGUCGAUCAUGUUUUACUCAUCUUUGCCCCCUAGUGGAAACCAUGAUGGCCUCCAACUCUGCACACAAAUAGUUUCAAACAAGAACCGCUGGUGAAAUGUGACUGCUGAUGGACCUGGGUGGGAAUUUCUCUGGGAUGCCGACUAAAAAGCAUGGUGGCUGGGUCAUAAAAUGCACACUUAAUUUGAAUAAGUGCCACCCAGUGGCUCUCCACAAAGCCUGCACUAGUCCAUUCUACUAGAAAUUAUUCACAUUUAACUGGAAACUGGGUCUUGGAGAUGUUAAGUAACUUGCUCAAGCUCACAUAAGGAGUAAAAGUGAAUUAGGACAUCCAGGACCCAAAUCCAGGCCUUGUAACUUCAGGUCAAUUUUAUUUUCCAGGGCACCACCCUCUAAGUCUCUGGAUCAUAAUAUGGAGCACUAAUAAAAAGAUUUCUUGAGGCUUUUGUUAUUUACAUAAUGAAUUUCAGAAAUGGCUUACUGGUGCUACUGGCAAGUUGCAGGCAGAAGAAAGAAUGAAAGCGAAUGGGCAUCUCAUGUUCUAUUCUCUGAUUCAACCUGUUUUGGGUCCCUUUUGACUGCUUUACCACAGUUGCUAUUACAUUAUUUUGGGAAGUAUUUAAAAAAGAAGAGAAAGUGCUGGAUAUCUGAACUCCUUUCCUCCAGUCUGCCAUGGGCCAAAAUGUAGUACCACCAUGCCUGACUAGAAAGUAAAAGAGGAAUCAUAGAAUCAGAUAGUGUUAUAACCAGAAUGGGCCUUACAGACCAUUUAGUCUAGUCCUCCCAUUUUAUAGAUGAGAAAAUGGAGGCCCAGAGAGAGGAAGACAGUUGCCUGAGGUCACACAGCUGGAAGGAGAGCAGGAUGGGCACCCAGGCUUUCUGAAAACCAGUCUCUUUGAUGCAGGUGAACCCCCACAUUGGGGCUCAGCUCAAGAGGGUUCUUAGCUUUGCUCAGGAAGGAAUUCAAGAGUGAGCUGACAGUUAAAGAAAGCAAGUUUUUAGAGCAAUAGUGUACAGCAAAAUGGCUGCUCCACAGACAGAGCAGGGCCAUCCCAUAGGCAGAGUAGCACUUGUGCAUUGCUGGCUAGCUCUAUUUAUAGCUGCUCCUAAUUAUAUGCUAAAUAAGCGGUGGGUUAUUCACAGAUUUUCUAGAAAAGGUGUGGGGAAUUUCCAGAACUGAUGGUUCCUUCCUCUUUAAACCAUGUAAGGUAACUUCUGGGUUUUGCCAUGACAUCAACUGUCAUGGUGCUGGUGGGAAGUGUUUUACAGCAUGCAAAUGUAUUAUAAUUCCUAGUCCUAACUGCUUUUGGCUGGUUCCUUUGCUACAUCCUGUUUUGAUCAGCAGUGUCAUGAAAACAAGUCCUGUUCAUCUCCUACCUCUCCUUGCCCUUUCCACUUUUCUGCACACAGCAACUUUCACCUGCGCACCCAGGAAUCCACACUUUAAGUCUUAACAACCUGAGGUGUUGUUGAGAAAAAACUACAAACAGUGGUGCGCUGGCAAAUCUUUAACAAUCACCUGGGGUGGGGUGGGGUGUGGAUAAACAAGCCUUAUUUGUAGCAUAUGGCCAAUUUCAAGCUGCCAAAGUGCUGUCACUGAACGUGAAGUAGUGGGAGCAGGGCAGCAGAGGGCCACCAAUCAGAGGCAUUUCCACCAAACAGAUGCAAUUGGCAUAAGUAACUGCAAGGGCACGGACAACCGCAAGGUCUGCUAAAAGGAUUAGGAAGUGAUGAGUUUUGAGUGUUUAUUACUUUUGGUUUUAGUGUAACUUAUUUGUAAGCUUACAUAAUUUAAUGUCUAAUAAGGGCAAUGUUUA